This 453-nucleotide ribosomal RNA is filed under the name uncultured bacterium. Its description in RNAcentral is "bacterial SSU rRNA". It matches the Rfam family "Bacterial small subunit ribosomal RNA", at positions 340 to 786 of the family's 1533-position model. The record is from RNAcentral.
UACGGAAGGCAGCAGUGGGGAAUAUUGCACAAUGGGCGCAAGCCUGAUGCAGCCAUGCCGCGUGUAUGAAGAAGGCCUUCGGGUUGUAAAGUACUUUCAGUCGUGAGGAAGGUGUUAAGGUUAAUAACCUUAGCAAUUGACGUUAGCGACAGAAGAAGCACCGGCUAACUCCGUGCCAGCAGCCGCGGUAAUACGGAGGGUGCGAGCGUUAAUCGGAAUUACUGGGCUAAAGGGCACGCAGGCGGUUAAUUAAGUUGGAUGUGAAAUCCCCGGGCUUAACCUGGGAAUGGCAUUCAAGACUGGUUAGCUAGAGUCUUGUAGAGGGGGUAGAAUUCCAUGUGUAGCGGUGAAAUGCGUAGAGAUGUGGAGGAAUACCGGGUGGCGAAGGCGGCCCCUGGGCAAAGACUGACGCUCAUGUGCGAAAGCGUGGGGAGCAAACAGGGAUUAGAUACC